RNAcentral lists this ribosomal RNA (497 nucleotides) under uncultured bacterium. RNAcentral's name for it is "partial 16S ribosomal RNA". It matches the Rfam family "Bacterial small subunit ribosomal RNA", at positions 28 to 507 of the family's 1533-position model. The record is from RNAcentral.
GAUGAACGCUGGCGGCGUGCCUAAUACAUGCAAGUCGAGCGAACAGAUGGGGAGCUUGCUCCUCUGACGUUAGCGGCGGACGGGUGAGUAACACGUGGAUAACCUACCUAUAAGACUGGGAUAACUUCGGGAAACCGGAGCUAAUACCGGAUAAUAUAUUGAACCGCAUGGUUCAAUAGUGAAAGACGGUUUUGCUGUCACUUAUAGAUGGAUCCGCGCCGCAUUAGCUAGUUGGUAAGGUAACGGCUUACCAAGGCAACGAUGCGUAGCCGACCUGAGAGGGUGAUCGGCCACACUGGAACUGAGACACGGUCCAGACUCCUACGGGAGGCAGCAGUAGGGAAUCUUCCGCAAUGGGCGAAAGCCUGACGGAGCAACGCCGCGUGAGUGAUGAAGGUCUUCGGAUCGUAAAACUCUGUUAUUAGGGAAGAACAAAUGUGUAAGUAACUAUGCACGUCUGGACGGUACCUAAUCAGAAAGCCACGGCUAACUACGUG